UUCUUCUUCUCUCUUUCGAAAAUCUCUUCCGCCGCUGACCAAAGAGCCGCCACCAUUUCGUCUCUUCUCGACCAUCAAAACUAACGAUCGUCCGAUGUUCGUUGCGCACGUGCCAAGUCCAUUCGUGGCCCUAACCCGAGCCAACUUCUUUGCCUCCUCUUUGCAUCCGUUUGAGUUCACUCAAGGUCGCCGCGACACUCCUCACCUACAACUUCUCACGUCGCUAACUUGUUAGGUUGCGAACCAAAGGCCAAGUGUUGAUUUAAAGCUCGUCAUCAGUCAUAGAUCUCCAUUAUUCUUUGUAUGUUUAUAGUAAAUUUUUGUAAUGCAUCAUGGAGUAGUUAGAUGUGAUGAGAGUGAGGUUAAGAACUUGUGUUGAAAUUACCUCUUAAAACGAAAUCAUGUGUAUGUAACUUUUAAGCUGAUUGUGAACUUUACUGAAACUCUGAAACUGUUUGGAUAAGUGUGUGGUGAGACACACUUGCGACGUUGUCGAGUUUUGAAGUUAAGUUACAUAUAUAAGUGCAAAAUCUCUCCAUUUCAGGUUUGGUUAACUCAUAUUUUAGGGGAGAUGCUGCCGAAAUUUUUAAUGAAAUUUUUGAAAGGUAUUUUAUAAAUCUUAUCUUUGAAAAGGAUUGUUUAAGGGACUAGAUUCACACCACGAUCUAAGUUAGAGGGGAAAACUUAGAACGGGGUGUGACAACUCAACCCAACCCAUAUUUUAAGCUAACCCAAUCCACAAAAUAUGGGUUGGGUAGUCCAGAUUAUUCGGGUUGUCGGGUUAUUCUUACACCCCUACUCCAUUCCAAAGUCUUUUUUGGGUUCUAUCACUAAAAGUAAAAAUGCCAAAAAUUCCUUGCUGAAAUUGAAAAAUAUUUUGCUAAAAAUGAAAAAGGAGAAGCAAGUAGUCUUUUGACUACUUUAACUUCCAUGAGGUAUAAGGACAAUGGAAACAUAAGAGAUUACAUUAUAGAAAUGUCCAAUCUCGUUGGUAAAUUAAAGACACUUGAUAUCGAAAUAGAUGUAAAUUUACUCAUACAUUUGGUACUUAUCUUUAUUCCAGCAUAAUUCACUCAUUUAAGAUAAGUUAUAAUACUCAGAAGGAUAAAUGGAGUAUUAAUGAGCUUAUCUCACAAUGUGUGCGAGAAGAAGAUAGGAUUAAAAGAGAAAGGAUAGAAAGUGCUUACUUGACAACUAACUUUCAUGGUAAGAAGAAAAGGAAACCUAGAGAUGCUAUAGAAGGGACAUCUCAGCAGAAUAGAAAACUAGCUAUGGAGAAUCCUUGUCUUUUCUGCAAAAAAAAAAAAAAAAAGGUCAUCUCAAGAAAGAUUGUCCCAAGUAUGCGAAAUAGCGUGUAAAGAAAGGGUUGCUUGUGGAGUCGACCUCCAAAUGAUGCGGAAAGAUUCAUCUGUGUGGGCGAUCGCAAAGCAGUUUUAGUGAAGAUAUUGGCAGUUUUUUAGAUUACUUUUAAAAACUGGUUGUUUUUUGGAUUUGAAUGAGACUUUUAUUGUACCGUCAUUUAGAUGGAACUUAGAUUUUAUUUCUAGU
Long non-coding RNA from Cucumis melo (muskmelon), 1548 nucleotides. RefSeq lists it as uncharacterized. Lineage: Eukaryota; Viridiplantae; Streptophyta; Magnoliopsida; Cucurbitales; Cucurbitaceae. The record is from RefSeq and is a predicted model, not a curated record. The transcript has 3 exons.